CCUGAACACACCUAAAACACAAAUAAGUUCCUAUGUGGUGUCACAAGAAUGAGGAAAAGCUAUCAGGAGAAACACUUGAUGAGAAUGUGAUGUUUCUCUUUUUUUGGUUUAGGUGCAGACUCAGCUGACACCACAAAUCAGCCAGACAACAGCUCAGAAGAGGAGUCAGACGCUGAGGACAAAGACAAAAAGGUCAAAGACAAAGACGCAGAAAUAAAGGACGAAGACAAAAAGGCCAAAGACAAAGACCCCAAAGACAAGAGCUCAGAAGAGGAGUCAGACGCUGAGGACAAAGACAAAAAGGCCAAAGACAAAGACGCCAAAGACAAGAGCUCAGAAGAGGAGUCAGACACUGAGGACAAAGACAAAAAGGCCAAAGACAAAGACG
Molecule: long non-coding RNA, 388 nt
Organism: Clupea harengus (Atlantic herring)
Lineage: Eukaryota; Metazoa; Chordata; Actinopteri; Clupeiformes; Clupeidae
Source: Ensembl